GACGAACGCUGGCGGCGUGCUUAACACAUGCAAGUCGAACGGAAAGGCCCUGCUUUUGUGGGGUGCUCGAGUGGCGAACGGGUGAGUAACAAGUGAGUAACCUGCCCUUGACUUUGGGAUAACUUCAGGAAACUGGGGCUAAUACCGGAUAGGAGCUCCUGCUGCAUGGUGGGGGGUGGAAAGUUUCGGCGGUUGGGGAUGGACUCGCGGCUUAUCAGCUUGUUGGUGGGGUAGUGGCUUACCAAGGCUUUGACGGGUAGCCGGCCUGAGAGGGUGACCGGCCACAUUGGGACUGAGAUACGGCCCAGACUCCUACGGGGGGCAGCAGUGGGGAAUAUUGCACAGUGGGCGGAAGCCUGAUGCAGCAACGCCGCGUGCGGGAUGACGGCCUUCGGGUUGUAAACCGCUUUCGCCUGUGACGAAGCGUGAGUGACGGUAAUGGGUAAAGAAGCACCGGCUAACUACGUG
This 468-nucleotide ribosomal RNA is filed under the name uncultured bacterium. RNAcentral's name for it is "partial 16S ribosomal RNA". It matches the Rfam family "Bacterial small subunit ribosomal RNA", at positions 28 to 507 of the family's 1533-position model. The record is from RNAcentral.